This is a long non-coding RNA of Prunus avium (sweet cherry), 398 nucleotides long. RefSeq lists it as uncharacterized. NCBI's taxonomy places the organism in Eukaryota, Viridiplantae, Streptophyta, Magnoliopsida, Rosales, Rosaceae. The record is from RefSeq and is a predicted model, not a curated record.
UAUUUAAUUUCUUUUUUAUUAUUUAAUUAUUAUGAUUUUGAUUGCUGAACUAUUAAAUUUGUGAUGAUCUAAUUGAUGAAAUUAACUCUAGAUGCCUGGAUUAAUGAUACUUGGAUAUAAGUGUGGUGUGGUUGCAAUUUGUUGGUGAUUAUGGAUGAAGCUAACUCAGUGCCAACGAUGUAUCGGACAGACCAGCAUACUACAUCAGAAAAAGACUUCAGUCAUGUGCCACAAAAUCUGUUUUAAUAUGUUUCUUGCUUUUAAUUUGUUUUGAUGGAAAUUAGGACCUUUAGAAUGGGGACAUACCACUUUAGAAUGUUUGUUUUGAUGGAAAUUAUGAACUUAGAUGCAUGCUGGAAAUCGUGCAACCUUUGAUUGAAUGGAAUGUUAUUGUGUUA